Molecule: ribosomal RNA, 465 nt
Filed under: uncultured bacterium
Lineage: Bacteria
Description: partial 16S ribosomal RNA
Rfam family: Bacterial small subunit ribosomal RNA
Source: RNAcentral
CCUACGGGUGGCAACAGUAGGGAAUCUUGCACAAUGGGCGAAAGCCUGAUGGAGCAACGCCGCGUGGGUGAAGAAGGUCUUCGGAUCGUAAAACCCUGUUGUUAGAGAAGAAAGUGCGUGAGAGUAACUGUUCACGUUUCGACGGUACCUAACCAGAAAGCCACGGCUAACUACGUGCCAGCAGCCGCGGUAAUACGUAGGUGGCAAGCGUUAACCGGAUUUAUUGGGCGUAAAGGGAACGCAGGCGGUCUUUUAAGUCUGAUGUGAAAGCCUUCGGCUUAACCGGAGUAGUGCAUUGGAAACUGGAAGACUAGAGUGCAGAAGAGGGGAGUGGAACUCCAGGUGUAGCGGUGAAAUGCGUAGAUAUAUGGAAGAACACCAGUGGCGAAGGCGGCUCUCUGGACUGAGACUGACGCUGAGGUUCGAAAGCGUGGGUAGCAAACAGGAUUAGAUACCCUGGUAGUC